Molecule: ribosomal RNA, 538 nt
Filed under: Hypocreales sp. MMB63
Lineage: Eukaryota; Fungi; Ascomycota; Sordariomycetes; Hypocreales
Description: eukaryotic LSU rRNA
Rfam family: Eukaryotic large subunit ribosomal RNA
Source: RNAcentral
AAAGAAACCAACAGGGAUUGCCUCAGUAACGGCGAGUGAAGCGGCAACAGCUCAAAUUUGAAAUCUGGCCCUAGGCCCGAGUUGUAAUUUGCAGAGGAUGCUUUUGGUGAGGUACCUUCCGAGUCCCUUGGAACAGGGCGCCAUAGAGGGUGAGAGCCCCGUCUGGUUGGAUACCGAACCUCUGUAAAGCUCCUUCGACGAGUCGAGUAGUUUGGGAAUGCUGCUCUAAAUGGGAGGUAUAUGUCUUCUAAAGCUAAAUACCGGCCAGAGACCGAUAGCGCACAAGUAGAGUGAUCGAAAGAUGAAAAGCACUUUGGAAAGAGAGUUAAACAGCACGUGAAAUUGUUGAAAGGGAAGCGUUUACGACCAGACUUAGGCCCGGUUGAUCAACUAGCGUUCUCGCUGGUGCACUCUGCCGGCCUAGGCCAGCAUCAGUUCGCCCCGGGGGAUAAAGGCGUCGGGAAUGUAGCUCCCUCGGGAGUGUUAUAGCCCUUCGUGCAAUACCCUGAGGUGGACUGAGGUUCGCGCUCUGCAAGGA